RNAcentral lists this transfer RNA (75 nucleotides) under Thermoproteota archaeon. RNAcentral describes it as "tRNA-Cys". It matches the Rfam family "tRNA". From Rfam's summary of the family: Transfer RNA (tRNA) molecules are approximately 80 nucleotides in length. Their secondary structure includes four short double-helical elements and three loops (D, anti-codon, and T loops). The record is from RNAcentral. Lineage: Archaea; Thermoproteati; Thermoproteota. RNAcentral also lists the same sequence under 1 other name.
GCCAGGGUGGCCGAGCGGCUUAGGCGGCGGGCUGCAGACCCGCUUACUGGGGUUCGAAUCCUCACCCUGGCUCCA